Molecule: small nuclear RNA, 195 nt
Organism: Cynara cardunculus var. scolymus (artichoke)
Lineage: Eukaryota; Viridiplantae; Streptophyta; Magnoliopsida; Asterales; Asteraceae
Product: U2 spliceosomal RNA
Exons: 1
Source: RefSeq, a predicted model, not a curated record
AUAUUAUAGAAUGUUACGAUAAAGUGUAGUAUUUGUUUUUAUCAUCUUUUAAUAUAUGAUAUAUGGGUCAUCGACCCCACUUGAUAUUAAUUUUAUUCUUUUAUGAGGAAAAAUCUAUUAUCUUAGCUUGGUGAUGUGGUUCUUUACGCAUCGCCUUGAACUUCCAAUACUGUUGCUACAGCUUACGCACUCCUC